This is an RNA transcript of Perca fluviatilis (European perch), 3707 nucleotides long. It is a transcript of the gene named myelin-oligodendrocyte glycoprotein-like, with no coding region annotated. The transcript has 5 exons. NCBI's taxonomy places the organism in Eukaryota, Metazoa, Chordata, Actinopteri, Perciformes, Percidae. The record is from RefSeq and is a predicted model, not a curated record.
GGGACUUGGCAACGUCCACAGUGACAGGGCUGACAUGUAAGAACAGACAACCAUUCACACGUGUGCUGGUAGCCUGAAGAAACUAGACACAGUUGGUAGAACAAGCAAAGUAAGUUUCUAAAGGAUUCCAAAUAACCCGCUGAUCAGGUGAGAGAAAAAAAUAUUUUUUGAAAGGACAUGGGUUUUUUCCAGCUAUGAUACAAUAUUUCCCUGAUGUUGAUGCCAGGACAGUCACAGAUACCAUGGAUAAGAGAAAACAAGGUGUAUUGACGGUUAUUUCCUCUCUUCAUUCCUCUCAUAUCAAAGAACAGGAGCCACCGGAACUCAUAGGGGAUUUUUGAGUUCAUUUUCAGGUGAAGCAUUGAUUUGGUCAUUUGCAAGACUCCCGUCAUUUUGAAGGAGAUACACAGAGACAUCUAAAUUGAAAAACCUAAAAAGUGUUGAAGUUUAAAGGACUGGGUUUAUUUCUAUUAUUUAUUUAUUUUAAACCAGAAUCAAUGGAUGCACCCAACACGGAAGCGAUUCUGCAAGCCUCGCUGUCGCGGACCAUGUUCGGACCCCACUUUCUUUUUAUUAAAUCUUUGAUCCUAUGAAGUGCACUGUUUCCCUUUAUUCCGGACCCAAGAACGCAGACCCCCGACUGUCCCAAUCAUGGACUAAAUGAACUGCAAUUCUCACCAUCCCCAUAAGAGGUGAAUCUCACGUGGUUGGUCCACUUCAGCCAAUCGUGGCUGCUCCGGGUGAUGACGUCAUCCUGCCGUGCCAUGUGGAGCCUCCGGUAACCGUGGCGGGACUGACGGUGGAGUGGUCGAGGCCCGACCGUCAGCCGGACCCCAGAGAUCGGCUGAGCCGGGUCGAAUAUGUGCAUCUUUACCGGGACACCCGCGAGGUCCCGGACAUGAAGAUCCCAUCAUACGUCGGUCGGACAGAACUGUUCACAGAAGGCCUGAGACACGGCGACAUAUCGCUCAGGAUCAUGAACGUGACGCUUGCAGACAAAGGGAGAUUCAGAUGUUUCAUCCCGAAGUUAAACGGCCAAAUACAGUCUUCAGUUGUUCAGCUUGUCGUUGGCGAGUUAGUCUGUUAAAAAUUUGUGAUCUAGAUUAAAGCUGCAGUAAAAAUGUUGACGUAAAAUUGAUCAUAUCAACAUUUUAUCUUGUCUAUACAGUGCUAAAAAUAUAAUAUACAAGAUCAGUGCCUCGAAUAUCUUUUUGUCAACAACUUAUGUUACUUAUGCAACUUACAACUUAUUGCUGCCCCAUAGCAAAGGGCAGUUGUCUCCUUUAAAUAUUAUUGUAAGUCAUUGCACUCUUUACACUUUUGUUUUUUCCAGAACGAAAAUCUGCUACAACAGAGACGCCUAUGCAACCCACAAGUCACCAAACUCCUGAUCCGAGGAAAGAAGGGGAUGGUAAAGGUGGUUGGUCCAGUCAGAAGAUAGUGAUCCCAGUCGUGGUUGUCUGCGUUGUCUUCCUGAUGAUCCUGGUUGUUGUUGUUGGAGUCAUAAGAUAUUCACCACAUUGUGUCACAAAGUGUCAAAAACAAAAACUUAUAUUGGUACCGACUGUCUAAGGGCACAUUGGUAGACUCCUACAAAGAUGAGAACACUACCCGCAUUUCUCAGCAGGAUAUUUCCAAUUAGUUUGAGGAGUCAAACCAGCAACCCUUCCAGCUACAGAUGGACUCACUGGAUCUGCAGGAGCGAGGCUUUUUAUGUUGUGGAAGAAAGCAGACCCCCACCAAAGGUCCCGUAAGUUUCUCUGAUUUGAAGACUGAUUGUGUGACAUCUGAAGAGUCUUAAAUAUGAAAUAGAAGAUCUGUUAUUUGUCCAAUUGUUGACUUUAUGUCAUGAAGGGGAAAGUACAUCUGAAGGCAUCAGGAUUAUUUGCACCUGCUGUGUCUGGACUGAAACAGGUUUUUGUAUAGUUUCACCCUAUUUGAAUUUUGUUUCCAUAGCUUUGCAUAUGGCUUUUAGUAGGACGUGGCAGCAAUGAGUCAGAGCUAAGUUUGCAUUUAAAUGUAAGACAUUAUUCAUCAGGGAAAGUAUAUGCGUUCUUUUUUUAAUUUAUUCUGUUUAAUAAAUUAAUUACGGGGUUAUGUUCUAUGUGUGUGAUGUGAAGAGGCUACAAACAUUUAAUUGUGUUGUGAAAUACGAGAUAUUUAAACCUUGUAACAGUGACUGUCAAGUUAUGUCUUAACUUAUUCUAAACUGUUGUUCUGUUGUUAUAUGCUGUUUUUAUUCUAAGAUGUUUAAAUAAAAGCGGGCUUUUUAUUGGUUAAAUGUUGUUCUUGUGAUCUAACAGAUAACCUUUGUUAAUGUUACACUUCAAAUAAUAUUUUCAAAUGUAUUUGUCAGUUCUAUGUUGUGCUGUGUGUGAAGAAAUUAUGAGCACAGUUGAUUAUUCAAUGUUAAAAGCUACCUCUUGUGUUACGCUGCUCAAGCAGGUACAUUGCUUGUAUUGCAUGUUCCUCAAAGUUAUGUUUUAGGAUAUAGGUCAGGCUUUAAUUUUAGCCUCAUAGCUUUUCUUAUUUCUGUUAUUUUUUUUCUCAGUGUGUUUACAUCAUAUGAGCUGUGACUAAUAUAUCUGUGCUGAAGGUCCCGUGAUGUCAGCUGCUUAUCUCUGUGACCUGUGACAGUAAUUGGGUAAAGGUUAUUAUCACAUACAUGUAGCUAAAUUAAUUCUCUCAUUUAACCAAUCCCUCAAGGGAGCAGUGGGGAGCAGCCCGGGGAACUCCAGAUUUGACCCUGGAGACUUGAGAAUCUGUUUUUGAUGGUGAGGGAAACCAGAGAAACCCACACAAACAGGGGGAGAUCAUACACAUCCACACAGAAAGGCCCGGGGUGACCUUGAUUCAAACCCACAACCUUCUUGCUGUGAGGCCACAGUGCUAACCAUUGGGCCACCAUGCUGCGAUAAUACAUGUGCUUAUAUGAUACAUGUUAGUUUUAAUUUAUAUGGUUUACUAUUAAACCGAGAUAUGUCUUGUUUUCACUCCAUGAAAGUUGAAAGCUUUUGGCAAUACUAGUUGUAGGCUCCAGGUAUUCAUUUCAGAUGAGAACCAACAGCGAUGCCAAUUUAAGCCACAGCUUCUGUGUCAUAACAUCCUCUGCUAAGUUAAAUAUCUUUUAGAGCAACUCACACAAAGAUAAUUGUUAGAUAUGGAGUGCAGAGAACAUCAGCUCGUUAAAAAUGUUCAUUAGAGUCACGGUAAUAAACAAAAACAUUUUGUUCAGUAUGUAGCCAUUAUAACUUAACAUCAUGAUGCAAUUUUAGUGAGAACAUGUUUCAGACAAAAAUCAACAACAAGACAGACAACAACAGCAUUUGAAAUUGAAAGUUGAAACUUUUUGGAAACUUUUUUUAUUUCUCUCAUAAAUUCUAAAGUGUUUCCCCUGUGGUUGUUUUAUUGAGGAAGACCUUGCAGAAUAAACAACAGACGUUACGUGAGAUAUUUAACUGAAUCAUUUCCUGCUCUAGAACAAGUACGACAAUUGUGUUAUCUAGAGUUCACGGAAUCUUUGGUUGUUUUUUUUCUGUCCCAGAAACCGAGACUCUGGGUGUUAUGUGGGUAAGUCAGCUGUUUGACAUGGUUUUGUUUUCUUAAUGAUCUAGGCAAAGCUCCACAAGACUUUGUUUAUUAAUUUGCAGAGGCAGAGGGAGAGAACAAUUUUUUUUCUCCAAAUAAAGUACAUUUCCAAAUUCCAA